RNAcentral lists this long non-coding RNA (4543 nucleotides) under Brassica napus (rape). Its description in RNAcentral is "long non-coding RNA (BNAP_LNC009026)". The record is from RNAcentral. Lineage: Eukaryota; Viridiplantae; Streptophyta; Magnoliopsida; Brassicales; Brassicaceae.
UUAAUACUUAUAAUUUUUUAAGCUAAGGUUUUCGUAUGAAAUUCAAAGAUAAGAGAAAUAAUGCAACUUACAUUACCAUGUGCAAUAUGCCGAUUUAGGAAAUUUUGUGUUCUUUUUUAUGGUUAUUCGGUGACAGAGAGACUGUCUCACAUGAGAUACGAUGAUGAUAGAUUGUGUGGUUGAUGUGAAAUGGUUAUAGAUAAGAGAAAUUGCACCUAAGAAAAACACCAAAAUUCACAAACUAACCAAAUUCCUAUUCUCUCUCCCCCUUUCUCUUCCUAUCUCUCUCUACUCUCUUUCUAAAAAAUCUAAUUUUAUUUUCUUGUUUGGUUAUUUCACAAAUAACCCCUAUAGAUAACGCACAGUGCUUUGCUACUUUUUUAUUUUCGAUUUUCAGAAAGAAAGAAAGACAGAGAGAUGGAAUUGGGUGGACGAUGGAGCAAUAAGCUAAAGGGAAAGGCAAUUGAAGAUAAUGUGCUUUGCUACUGUGGAAUUCCGGCCAAGAUAUCUCAAGCUUGGACAGAAAAAAAUCCAGGUCGAAGGUUCUAUGGGUGUGAAAAAUACAAGGUAUAAGAUUAUUGUGAACUCUGUAUAUAUUGUCAUGGUAUGAUUAUUGGAAAGUUUUAAAUUUUGUUUUUGUGUUAGAGUGGAGGUGACUGCAAGUUUUUUAAAUGGUUUGAUGAGGAAGAAGCUUUUGGAUGGCAAAAGAAAGCUUUGAUUGAAGCUAGAAACGAAAUUCGCGAGAAGCACAAAACUAUUAUGGAAUUGAGGAAGAUCAUUUCAAAGCUUCAAAGUGAGUUGGUGAAAAAAGAAGAGGCUGAAGAAGACAUCAUCAACACUUUUCUCAAACUCUGAAGUUGUUAUUGUAAGGAUUAUUAUCGGAUCCUCAAAAUCAAAAACCCUUGUAAUGUUAUUCCUAUAUGUUGUUAUCGGAUCCUCAAAAACCCUUGUAAUGGUUUGAACAUCAUGUGUUUAGUGUAAUAUAUUAUCUGUUAUGAGCUUCAUAUUUGACAUCUAAAAUAACCAAAUUUUCAUUCAAAUAAAACACAUUCAAAUCUGAGAACCAAAUUUGUCAUAGACAUUACAAAAACACAUAUCCGAGAGCCAAAAGGCCAUAUCCGAGGAACCAAGAAGACACAUUAAAAUGACCAAAACAAUACAUCUUCCGAGAACCAACCAAGACACUUCAAAGAACAAAAGACAUGUCUGAGACACUUCUUAGACACUUCCGAAAACCAACCAAGACACUUCCAAAUGACAUGUCUGAGACACAUCAAGUUUGUGUUGCACGUGGUGCAGUUGAGGAGACAUCCUCCGCCUCUUGUUCUUGAGCUUGUUGUUCCGUGUUUGCACGUCUACGCUUAGCUCUGCUUUCUUCAGGCUGCAACAAAAGACAAUAAAUUAAUGACAACAAAAGACAAUGAAUCAAUGACAACAAAGACAAUGUACCUCAUGAGGACACUUCCUUGAGUUGUGGCGUUCACCACCACAUAGACUACAAUGACCAAUCCUUCCUUUUCGACUAACUUUUGUCGGAUUCUUCUUGGGUGAUUCAAGUAUUCCUUUAAUCCUUGCUUUCCCUUUUGGUCUUCCAGGAGGUCUCUUGUAAGGAGGUGCUUCAAUACGUUCUGCACCAGAUAGCUUCCAGAACUUUGGACCAUUUACCGGCCUCAAACCUCUAAAGUACACACCUUGCCACUUUGAUGUAAGAUAGUAAUCCGAAAUGUAAUCAUCAACCUCCAUACCAUUCUCACGGAUAGCUGAUACGGCAUGACGACAUGGAAUUCCAGACAAGUCCCAUUUCCUACAAGUGCAGCUUCGAGAAGGCAAGUUGACAGUGUAACCAUUUGAAAACUCUACAAUCUCAAAUUCACCACCUGUGCUACAGUAAGAAUAGCAAUAUUGAGCUUCAUCACAAGACUUUUCAACCUCCUUUCUAGCCUUCUUUGUGUAGAGACCUGGCGUGUUGUUAGCCGUCUUACUUCUAGUCGCUAUCCUCUGCAUAGCAUCCCUUCUAAUCAACUCAAGCAUCUGAAUAAAAGGCUUCUUUCUAGCUAUCUUCAAAGUUCUAUUGUAAGACUCAGUGAAGUUGUUGUGUGUAUCAGAACAACAAGACCCUAUCCGGAAAAAAGCUCUGCACCAAGAUGUCGGAUCCUUUUUUAAAAGAUCAUCAGCUGCGAGUGGAUCAAGCUGUUUCAAAUUCUCUAAAUUCUUCUCAUAGUCAGCCUCAUUGUAGCUACUUGCAACACGCCAGAACAAUGGCUUCAACGUAUCAGACUUAUGAAGCUUCUUCAGAUUGGAGUAGAUGUGCCUAGCACACGCUCUAUGUUCAGCUCUUGGCAACUCGACUGCAACUCCAUGGAUCAAUCCCUUAUGUUGAUCUGAAAUGAUUGUGACUUGUUCACCCAUGCCUAAACCCAAAUCAAUCUUCAAACGCUGGAUAAACCACUGCCAGUUAUCGUUGUUCUCAGAGGUUACGACAGCCCAUGCAAUUGGAUAGAUCUGAUUAUUGGGGUCUCUUCCAACGGCAGUCAGUAUCAGUCCUUGCAACGAGCUGUGCUUGAGAAAGGUUCCAUCUAAUCCAAUCACCGGUCUGCAAUAAGUCUUCCAUGACACACGUAGGUUGUGAAAGCAGAUAUACAUUGAGUUGAACGCUUUGGCUCCAUUCGGUUUUGUUGUUGUGGUGAUCUCAAUUUUGCUGUCAGGGUUUGAACUGCAAUUGACAAAAUAAAACAGUUACUCAUAUGACCACAAUACAUUGAAAUCAUAUUUAAAAGUUAGAUAACUAACCGUAAUAGCUCCAUCUCAUAAUCUUUUAUUCUUGCAAAAUGCUCAUUGCAUUCUGCUUGUAACUUAUCAAGCACAAUACGCCUAGCUAUCUUUGCCUGUUCAGGAGAGAUCAAGAUGUUGAACUUAUCCCUAAACUCCUCUCUGAUCAUUGGAGCACUCAUUUCAGGUUCCUUCCUGAUUUUCUCCAACAUAACUUCAGCAAUUGCAGGGCUUUUGAUGAGUUUACACUUGCCUGUGGGAUGGCAAGUAUGGGUGUUGACAUACACUUUCACCAUCCAUUGCUUGAUUGGUGUCUCUACCGAGCAGUAUAUACGCCACCUACAACCUUUGCCACUGCAUUUAGCACCAAUCUUUGUCUUCUCCCAUCUAUCAUAGACCACAUUUCUUCUCGUCUUCAGUAUAUAUUUGAUAACUUGUUUCUUGAAGUCUUCACCAGUGUGAAAUGUCUGUCUAAGACUGAAAACGCCAUCUAAUUCACCCCUUUUAGCCAUCCUCUCAGCUUGUUCCUCUUCAUCAUCAGAUGAAUUCUCAGUGUCCGGAUAUAUCUCAUCCUCGUCUAGAAUCUCAUCCUCAUAGUUCUCGUUCCUAAACAUCUCAAGACCCUCUUGGAAAUUUCUGUCAAAAUCAUCUUCAUUCUCGGAUUCAUUACUGGCUUGAUACUCAUCUUCACUCUCUUCUUCUUCAACCUCUUGCUCUGCCGGUGCGUCAAGCUCUUCACCAUCAACAGCUUCUUGCUCAGCCUCUGCGUCAUUCUCGUCACCAAGAAUAACAUGUUGCUCAACCUGUGUGUCACCGUCAAUCUCAUCACCAUCAACAACAUGCUGCUCAGCCUCUGUCGCAGUAACAUCAUCAGGUUCAGCUUCCUCUAUGAAGACAUCAAGCUCUUUGUACCAACGACCAUUAGCAUUCAUCUUUCUUUUGUUUACUUCUCCAUUUUCAGACAAAUCCUUCUUCUCUGAGAUAUCCUCAUAUGGUAACUUGUACCACAUUUUCCCCUUACUAACUACCUUAAUCAUCUUCUUCAUUACUUCAUCAUAUACUGCAUCACCAUCAACUUCAAACUGUUCCAACAGACCAUUGACAUAAUUAAGCUUCCCAUCUUCAUCAUCUUUUUUGAACACACCCCCAAAGAAACAAUUUAUCUUCACCGAGAUUGUAUCGCUCAUCGUGGUCCUCUUUCGAUUCAACACCUUACUUCAUCAACCUCUCGAUUCGAUUUCACCAAACCUGGAUUCUGAUUUCACCAAACCGUCUUACGAACCCCAAAAUCGAUUGCCUCUCUCUGUCUCUCUCAAUCUCUCUCUCAAUCUCUCUACGAAACCUCCAAUUUUUGUUUUCCUUUCAAACCCUAGAAAUGCGAUUUGGGGAAGAAAUGGGAUUGGGUUUCCUCGGGUCGGGUUUAUGAGAUGAAUCGGGUCGGAUAUUAUUAAUCGAAGUUUAACUUUAAAUAUUACAUAAUAACCCUAUCAACUAUUCUUAAAAUCAAUUAAACCUCGUCGUGAUGUUAUUAACAUAUUAAAUGAAACGUUAUGUAUGUGGCAUGUAUUAUCAUUAACGACGUGUAGUUAUUGACAUAUUCGGAUACAUCAGAUGGUUUUCACCAUAUUAUAGUAAACCUCGUGUAGCUAGGAAACUUUUUUCCUUUUAUUUAUUAGCAGAACUAACGCUGCUGUGGUCAUAUAAAAUAGGAAGCAGUUGAAUGGAAACACAAAAGCAAAGUUGCAGGCAAAAUGCACGCUUGUGGUCAUGAUGC